GAUAGUGAACCAGUACCGUGAGGGAAAGGCGAAAAGAACCCCGGCGAGGGGAGUGAAAAAGAACCUGAAACCGUGUACGUACAAGCAGUGGGAGCACGCUUAGGCGUGUGACUGCGUACCUUUUGUAUAAUGGGUCAGCGACUUAUAUUCUGUAGCAAGGUUAACCGAAUAGGGGAGCCGAAGGGAAACCGAGUCUUAACUGGGCGUUAAGUUGCAGGGUAUAGACCCGAAACCCGGUGAUCUAGCCAUGGGCAGGUUGAAGGUUGGGUAACACUAACUGGAGGACCGAACCGACUAAUGUUGAAAAAUUAGCGGAUGACUUGUGGCUGGGGGUGAAAGGCCAAUCAAACCGGGAGAUAGCUGGUUCUCCCCGAAAGCUAUUUAGGUAGCGCCUCGUGAAUUCAUCUCCGGGGGUAGAGCACUGUUUCGGCAAGGGGGUCAUCCCGACUUACCAACCCGAUGCAAACUGCGAAUACCGGAGAAUGUUAUCACGGGAGACACACGGCGGGUGCUAACGUCCGUCGUGAAGAGGGAAACAACCCAGACCGCCAGCUAAGGUCCCAAAGUCAUGGUUAAGUGGGAAACGAUGUGGGAAGGCCCAGACAGCCAGGAUGUUGGCUUAGAAGCAGCCAUCAUUUAAAGAAAGCGUAAUAGCUCACUGGUCGAGUCGGCCUGCGCGGAAGACGUAACGGGGCUAAACCAUGCACCGAAGCUGCGGCAGCGACGCUGAUGCGUUGUUGGGUAGGGGAGCGUUCUGUAAGCCUGUGAAGGUGUGCUGUGAGG
RNAcentral lists this ribosomal RNA (783 nucleotides) under Escherichia coli. RNAcentral's name for it is "partial 23S ribosomal RNA". It matches the Rfam family "Bacterial large subunit ribosomal RNA", at positions 486 to 1268 of the family's 2925-position model. Lineage: Bacteria; Pseudomonadati; Pseudomonadota; Gammaproteobacteria; Enterobacterales; Enterobacteriaceae. The record is from RNAcentral.